This 449-nucleotide ribosomal RNA is filed under the name uncultured bacterium. RNAcentral's name for it is "partial 16S ribosomal RNA". It matches the Rfam family "Bacterial small subunit ribosomal RNA", at positions 29 to 523 of the family's 1533-position model. The record is from RNAcentral.
AGCGAACGCUGGCGGCAGGCUUAACACAUGCAAGUCGAACGGGCACUUCGGUGCUAGUGGCAGACGGGUGAGUAACACGUGGGAACGUACCUUUCGGUUCGGAAUAAUUCAGGGAAACUUGGACUAAUACCGGAUAAGCCCUUCGGGGGAAAGAUUUAUCGCCGAUAGAUCGGCCCGCGUCUGAUUAGCUAGUUGGUGAGGUAAAGGCUCACCAAGGCGACGAUCAGUAGCUGGUCUGAGAGGAUGAUCAGCCACAUUGGGACUGAGACACGGCCCAAACUCCUACGGGAGGCAGCAGUGGGGAAUAUUGGACAAUGGGCGAAAGCCUGAUCCAGCCAUGCCGCGUGUGUGAUGAAGGCCUUAGGGUUGUAAAGCACUUUUGUCCGGGAAGAUAAUGACUGUACCGGAAGAAUAAGCCCCGGCUAACUUCGUGCCAGCCGCCGCAGUAA